This 72-nucleotide transfer RNA is filed under the name Bos taurus (domestic cattle). It matches the Rfam family "tRNA". From Rfam's summary of the family: Transfer RNA (tRNA) molecules are approximately 80 nucleotides in length. Their secondary structure includes four short double-helical elements and three loops (D, anti-codon, and T loops). RNAcentral also lists the same sequence under 5 other names. Lineage: Eukaryota; Metazoa; Chordata; Mammalia; Artiodactyla; Bovidae. The record is from Rfam by way of RNAcentral.
UCCCUGGUGGCUCAGGCAGUAAAGAGUCUGCCUGUAAUGCAGGAGAUGCAGGUUCGAUCCCUGCACUGGGAU